Molecule: ribosomal RNA, 728 nt
Filed under: uncultured Planctomycetota bacterium
Lineage: Bacteria; Pseudomonadati; Planctomycetota
Description: bacterial SSU rRNA
Rfam family: Bacterial small subunit ribosomal RNA
Source: RNAcentral
GCUUGAGCACGUAGGUGGGUUUGUAAGUCAGAUGUGAAAGCCUUCUGUUCAACGGAAGAAUUGCAUCUGAAACUGCGAGUCUUGAGUGUAGGAGGGGAGAAUGGAACUUCUGGUGGAGCGGUGAAAUGCGUAGAUAUCAGAAGGAACGCCGGCGGCGAAAGCGAUUCUCUGGCCUAUUACUGACACUCAGUGUGCGAAAGCCAGGGGAGCAAACGGGAUUAGAUACCCCGGUAGUCCUAGCCGUAAACGAUGGGCACUAAGUAGAGGGAAUUACCGAUGUUCCCUCUGCCGUAGCUAACGCAUUAAGUGCCCCGCCUGGGGAGUACGGCCGCAAGGCUAAAACUCAAAAGAAUUGACGGGGGCUCGCACAAGCGGUGGAGCAUGUGGCUUAAUUCGAUGCAACGCGAAGAACCUUACCGGGGCUUGACAUAGUAGAAGUAGGAACCCGAAAGGGUAACGAACGGUAUCCAGUCCGUAACUAUCACAGGUGUUGCAUGGCUGUCGUCAGCUCGUGUCGUGAGACGUUGGGUUAAGUCCCCUAACGAGCGAAACCCUUGUUUUUAGUUACCAGCGGGUUAUGCCGGGUACUCUAGAAAGACUGCCGUCGUCAAGACGGAGGAAGGUGGGGAUGACGUCAAGUCAUCAUGGCCCUUAUGCCCCGGGCUGCACACGUGCUACAAUGGUCGGUACAAACGGAAGCGAAGCCGAGAGGUGAAGCGAAUCCAAGC